This 400-nucleotide ribosomal RNA is filed under the name uncultured bacterium. RNAcentral's name for it is "bacterial SSU rRNA". It matches the Rfam family "Bacterial small subunit ribosomal RNA", at positions 355 to 772 of the family's 1533-position model. The record is from RNAcentral.
UGGGGAAUAUUGCACAAUGGGGGAAACCCUGAUGCAGCGACGCCGCGUGAAGGAAGAAGUAUUUCGGUAUGUAAACUUCUAUCAGCAGGGAAGAAAAUGACGGUACCCGACUAAGAAGCCCCGGCUAACUACGUGCCAGCAGCCGCGGUAAUACGUAGGGGGCAAGCGUUAUCCGGAUUUACUGGGUGUAAAGGGAGCGUAGACGGUAUGGUAAGUCUGAUGUGAAAACACGAGGCCCAACCGCGGGAGUGCAUUGGAAACUAUCAAACUAGAGUGCCGGAGAGGCAAGCGGAAUUCCUAGUGUAGCGGUGAAAUGCGUAGAUAUUAGGAGGAACACCAGUGGCGAAGGCGGCUUGCUGGACGGUGACUGACGUUGAGGCUCGAAAGCGUGGGGAGCAAA